Molecule: ribosomal RNA, 495 nt
Filed under: uncultured bacterium
Lineage: Bacteria
Description: bacterial SSU rRNA
Rfam family: Bacterial small subunit ribosomal RNA
Source: RNAcentral
GAUGAACGCUGGUGGCAUGCUUAACACAUGCAAGUCGUACGGCAAAUGAAAGUUUUAGAACACUGUACUCUACCGUUCUAAGGGUUUCAUUUGUAGUGGCGGACGGGUGAGUAACGCGUAAGAACCUGCCCUUAGGAGGGGGAUAACAACUGGAAACGGUUGCUAAUACCCCAUAUGCUGAGGAGUAAAACGGUAACAACCGCCUAAGAAUGGGCUUGCGUCUGAUUAGCUUGUUGGUAAGGUAAAAGCUUACCAAGGCGACGAUCAGUAGUUGGUCUGAGAGGAUGAUCAGCCACACUGGGACUGAGACACGGCCCAGACUUCUACGGAAGGCAGCAGUGAGGAAUCUUCCGCAAUGGGCGAAAGCCUGACGGAGCAAUGCCGUGUGGAGGAAGAAGGCCUGCGGGUUGUAAUCUCCUUUUCUCGGAAAAGAAUAACUGACGGUAUCUGAAGAAUAAGCAUCGGCUAACUCCGUGCCAGCAGCCGCCGUAAAAC